Molecule: small nuclear RNA, 110 nt
Organism: Sabethes cyaneus
Lineage: Eukaryota; Metazoa; Arthropoda; Insecta; Diptera; Culicidae
Source: RefSeq, a predicted model, not a curated record
GUCCUAGCUUCGGCUGGACAUAUACUAAAAUUGGAACGAUACAGAGGAGAAGAUUAGCAUGGCCCCUGCGCAAGGAUGAUACGCAAAAUCGCGAAGCGUGAUUAUUCAAA